CACGUAGGGCGCGAGCGUUGUCCGGAAUUAUUGGGCGUAAAGAGCUCGUAGGCGGCCUGUUGCGUCCGCUGUGAAAGCCCGGGGCUUAACCCCGGGUCGGCAGUGGAUACGGGCAGGCUAGAGGUAGGUAGGGGAGAAUGGAAUUUCCGGUGUAGCGGUGAAAUGCGCAGAUAUCGGGAGGAACACCGGUGGCGAAGGCGGUUCUCUGGGCCUUACCUGACGCUGAGGAGCGAAAGCGUGGGGAGCGAACAGG
Molecule: ribosomal RNA, 253 nt
Filed under: uncultured bacterium
Lineage: Bacteria
Description: partial 16S ribosomal RNA
Rfam family: Bacterial small subunit ribosomal RNA
Source: RNAcentral